Molecule: long non-coding RNA, 9438 nt
Organism: Hemicordylus capensis (graceful crag lizard)
Lineage: Eukaryota; Metazoa; Chordata; Lepidosauria; Squamata; Cordylidae
Exons: 6
Source: RefSeq, a predicted model, not a curated record
CGCGCAUCAUUUUCGCCAGGGACCAGAAGCUCUACAGUUCCGCUUGCCCUUCGUCAUUUCCGCCAGGGGACCAGAGGAGACAGGACAGUCCGCGCUACAGUUCCGCUUCCUCUUUGUCAUUUCUGCCAGGAGAAGUUGCGCGUCGGUUCCGUAGGAGCAUGCGGUUUCCGGGUCGGGGCUCCCUGUGCCGUAGAGCACUAGGUCACCAAUGAGCACUAACUGGCGUUGGAAGAUGGAAGCCGAGAGUAUAGCUAUACUGAAAUGUAAGCGUCGCCCGCCUAGAUCAGCCCAAAGUAGGCCCGUUGAGAGAGGUGAGUCUGGGGUUGCCACUGGCUCUGCCUUCUCUGCUGCUGCCCCCCCGGGGCUUUGGGAUGCGCAGCUCCCUGUUGAAAGAAGAGCCUCCCCAUCUCUGGCAUCUUUUUAAAAGGCACUGGAGACAUUGGCUUACCCAGGCUUUUCACUAGAUUUAUAUUUUUAAUACUUUCAAUGUUGGGUUUAAAAUUAUUUUAAUGUUUUAAUCACUUCAGUUUUGUUUAAUUUGUAAUGCUUUUACUGUACACUGUCCAGAAACACAGGUUUUGGUUGGUAUAUAAAUGUUAAAUAAAAGUCACAGAAUCAAAACAUGCACAUUUUCCACAUGCAGGAAGCCUUAAGGUGUACCUCCUUAGAGGGCAGCAAGUUUUGUUUCUGCAUUUAAGGGGGGGGAGAGAGGCAGGCAGCUGCCCAGUCCCAAACCCUCCAUGCUUCGCUCCCUGCUGUUGAUGAAGAGCAGAGCCAAGUAGGACCUUCACGAGAUGGGGGAGCGCUUGACCGGCGGAACUCCUUGCCAGGAGAGCACCACCUAGCAGCAGCAGCAGCACAGCGGCCCAAGGGGCGGGCAAAGCUGCUGGGGCGGUUGUGGGGUGGAGUCGUCGCCCUUUGCAAGGCCCCCAAAGCAUCCCAGGAAAAGCCGCUUCCAGGCCCGCCCACCUCCCCCGGGAAGAAGCGCUGCCGCUCUAGGACGCCCCUCCGCGAACCCUUCCCUGAGCAUCUGGGGAGGGAGGAAGGGGAGGACGAAGCCAGCAGCGCCUCAGGGAACCCUGCAGGGAAGAGGGGGCCGCGGGGGGGGCGCAGGCAGGGGGCAGCCCAGAGCCGGAAGCCACAGCGGGGUCCAGGCAGGGUUGCUUUCUGGAAGGAGCCGCUCCUCCGCCUGCCGCCUGUUGCGCAUGCUCAGUAGCCAGAGUCCACGAGACGACUCCUGCAGCCCAGACUAGUCAAAACCUGGCCAGACAUCCAUGCUGCCAGGCUAUCCAAAAGGGCACGGAGGCUUCAGGGCGGGCCACUGGGCGUGCGCAGCCGCCGGUACAGACAUGCGCAGAGACGCAAAGCCUCGGCGGGGGAAUUCUGGCGGGCUUUCUGCGCUCCUCCCCGCGCGCCCCUGGGAGCCGACCCCACUCCUCUGAUUGGUUGGCGGGGUGACAGGCGCAUCACUGAUUGGCGAGCAGCUGGACAGCGGGCUCCGCCUCCCGCAGCUGAAGCUCACGACGCCUCCAGCCACGUUUGACUGAGAAAUAAUUUGAAACACCUGAGGCGGCAAGAGCCGCAGCAGGAGGAAGACCAGCAGGGCCGAGAAGGAAGGGUUCUCCUCAGGGAACUAGGGGGCUUCACGCCCCACACCGCAGCAGGAGGGCCAGGGCUGGGGAGGAGAGGCCCCCCUCAGGGAACUAGGGGGCUUCACGCCCCACAUUGCCCCUACUCAGCUGCUGAGGAAGACCAACCACAAGCCUCUAAGGGGCAGAGAAAUGCUGUGAGGGAAGGCUGUCUCCCAGACAGGGCAAGGAAGGGCUCUAUGCCCAGCCUGGGACUUUGCCUCAACAAUAAUAGGAAUAGUUUCUGAGGGAAGGCUGUCUUCAGGACAGUGCAAAGGAGGGCUUUAUGCCCAGCCUUGGCUUUUACCUCACCAAAAUAAGGAUAAUAAAUCUCUGUUGCUUCAAAAAAGGAGGCGGAAACCACUCAAGCCAUGCUACUUAGCCAGGAUAUGGCUUUUUAAAAGAAUACUUUGUGGGAGAGUGGUGGGAAAACGGUCUUCAAGACCCCUGCCAAAAGCCAGUUUCUGAGGGGAAGUGAAGUUUCUGAGUGGGGAGUUCAUCUCUCUGCUUUGGCUUCAUCUUGCCAAAAGAACUCAAACCCCUUCUGUGGAUGCUGCAGCCGUGCUGACGUGUGCAAAAGCCCGGCCACCUCACUGCCCACAUUUGUAGCAUUUGUCUGCAGAGGGCAACACGCGACAGAUUCUCCCCGUCCUCAGAACACUGGGGCGCCACAGUCUUCUGCAUCACGGUGAAAACCUGUCCACUCUUAGCGCGUUCUUGCUCUGUGCAGACAAAUGCUAGAACUAUGGACCGCGUAGGGCAGGACUUCUGAGCGCAACGGCACAGGGGCUGUAGCAGGAAAUUCCCUGAGGCCAGGGGCUGCUGUGCAACUACAGACUGGCCCUUUUAGUCUGAGAAAACUGGGUGCGACUUGAGGCUGUCCAAAGAAACCUGAGGCUCCUUUAUGCUCCCGACAGCUGUGUAUGGCAGCAUAAUUCCUAAGAGAGUGGCUGGCUUGAAUGGAACACCCUCCCUGCGCAUUAAAAGCCUUAGGCUUCUAGAUACUCAGAACACUUUUCUGAGGCAGCAUAAUCUCUAAUUUUCAGGCAGGCUUGUAUGGAACAUGCUUCAGGCUUCUUAAUUCUCUCAAGAGAAGAGAGGGUUCUCUUUCUAUUCUCUCAAAUUCUUUUUAAUGAGUUAUAUCUUUUCAUAUUUGUGAAUGGCAUAGAGCUAUCUGGAUGAGGGGGUGAAUAAAUAAAACAGCUGUGGGAGUCAGCAUAAUCUCUAAAAUGGGGGCUGGCUUGUAUGUAUGAUAGAAGCACCAGGAUGAUUUAUAACUGGCAACUUUAUAGGGAAGGAUAAUCUCAAAUUUAGCACCUAUCUUUAACUGAACAUUUUUCAUGUGUUCUAUUCCCACAAUAUCGCUUGGAGAACAAUUUAGCAAAAAGAAACGGAGUUGGUGCAUGUGUCCCUACGACCCACGGACCGGAGUGCAGCUCUUGGAGCAUUUGCUCCUCCCCAGGGGCCAACGUGGCAGAUUUCAAGAAACAACCGACAGAGGCGACAUCACAGAAGCCCAGAAGACGUGAAAGGGGCCAACGACACAGACACACAGGGCGAGUCAAACCAAACCACAACCCAGGGGCUGCGUACAAGCUUCAGGCUUCUCUCUUGUCCCAAACAUCAUCAUCAUCAUCAUCAUCACACACUUUAUAUGUGAGCCACCCUGUAAGAAAUAGUCCUCUGGGGAGCUCACAACACAACAUUGAAAAACGUCCUAGAAGAGCACAUACAACACAACAAACACAUCACAACACGAAACGGCAGCAUCUCUAAAAUGGUGGCUGCCUUGAAUGGAAGAGGCUUCAUGCCUCUUCAAGCAGCUUUGGGGGAACUGCCAAGAACAGACACAAUACCAUAUACAGGUUGUAUUCUGCCAUUUAGAGAACACGCUUCACGCGUGUUGGGAGCUUCAAGCUUCUUUAGUCCCGCAUGCUAUUCUUGUGCUUCAUACACUCUAGGAAUUUAGCUGCCUUGAAUGGAAGAGGCUUCAUGCCUCUUGCAUUGUGUCCCCUUGAAAACCCUGCGUGGCAAACCGAGCCAGAAGAAACAGAGUCGGCGCAUGUGUCCCUACAUCCUCCAGGCCGGAGUGCAGAUCUUGGAGCAUUUGUUCCUCCCCAGGGGCCAACGUGGCAGGUAAGGCUCCAAAAAGAGAAUGCUAAUUGUACAGGAGAAAAUCUACCAGAAUAGAAUCCCUAGCUGUAUCAUUGCCUUUUGGGAAGAGACUUUUCCUCAGUGGACUGAAAAAAGGGUACCUCAAAUGUUCCUCCGAUAUAUAUUAUAUAUUAUGGAUUAUUUUAUUUUUUCCAUUUUAUAUCCCGCUCUUCCUCCAAGGAGCCCAGAGCGGUGUACUACAGACUUAGGUUUUUCACAACAACCCUGUGAAGUAGGUUAGGCUUUCCUCAGCGGACUGAAGAAAGGGUACCUCAAAUGUUCCUCCGAUAUAUAUGAUGUUUAUAUCCUGCUCUUCCUCCAAGGAGCCCAGAGCAGUGUACUACAGACUUAGAUUUCUUUCUCACAUCAACCCUGUGAAGUAGGUUAGGCGGAGAAAGAAGUGACUGGCCGAGAGUCACCCAGCAAGUCUCAUGGCUGAAUGGGGAUUUGAACUCGGGUCUCCCUGGUCCUAGUCCAGAUCCAUUGGGAGCACAUACAACACGACAAGCACAUCACAACACGAAGCAGCAGCAUCUCUAAAAUGGUGGCUGCCUUGAAUGGAAGAGGUUUCAUGCCUCUUCAAGCAGCUUUGGGGGAAUUGCCAAGAAGAGACACAAUACCAUAUACAGGUUGUAUUCUGCCAUUUAGAGAACACGCUUCACGCGUGUUGGGAGCUUCAAGCUUCUUUAGUCCCGCAUGCUAUUCUUGUGCUUCAUACACUCUAGGAAUUUAGCUGCCUUGAAUGGAAGAGGCUUCAGGCCUCUUGCAUUUUGUCCCUUUGACAACCCUGCAAGGCAAACCGGGCCAGAAGAAACGGAGUCGGCGCAUGUGUCCCUACAUCCUCCAGGCCGGAGUGCAGAUCUUGGAGCAUUUGUUCCUCCCCAGGGGCCAACGUGGCAGAUUUCAAGAAACAACCGACAGAGGCAACAUCACAGAAGCCCAGAAGAUGUGAAAGGAGCCAACGACACAGACACACAAGGCCAGCCAAACCACAACCCAGGGGCUGCGUCGAAGCUUCAGGCUUCUCUCUUGUCCCAAACAUCAUCAUCAUCACACACUUUAUUUGUGAGCCACCCCAUAACAAAUCGUCCUCUGGGCGGCUCACAACACAACAUUGAAAAAUGUCCAAGAAGAGCACAUACAACACAACAAACACAUCACAACACGAAACGGCAGCAUCUCUAAAAUGGCGGCUGCCUUAAAUGGAACAUGCUUCAUGCCUCUUCAAGCAGCUUUUGGGGAAUUGCCAAGGAGAGACACAAUACCAUGUACACGUUGUAUUCUGCCAUUUAGAGAACACGCUUCACGCGUGUUGGGAGCUUCAAGCUUCUUUAGCCCCGCAACGCUUUUCUUGGGCUGCAUACACUCUAGGAAGGUGGCUGCCUUGAAUGGAAGAGGCUUCAUGCCUCUUGCAUUGUGUCCCCUCGACAACCCUGCGUGGCAAACCGGGCCAGAAGAAACGCAGUUCUAUAGUCAGGGCAACUCUACAGGGGGUUUCCCAGAGUCUAUUUCUUGCCAUUUUGAUUUUGAGUUCUUGGCACAUGACAAUGGUAGCAUUUGUAGAGUUCUGGUAUGUCACAACUUUUUUCUGUGUAGAGAAGCUUAAAGAAGGUAAUGUGCUUGGAAGAAAUUUUAUAUUCAGUGACAAGGAAGACUUAGAUGGUGUGUGGGGGGAGUGCUCAAAUGUAGCCUGCAUAACUAGUGUUUUGGUAUUUUCAAACAAUAUUCGUAUCUUUUUCAUACAGCUCAUAAUUAAUCUAUGGAAUUCUCUGCCACAGGAUGUGGUGAUGGCCACCAGCUUGGAUGGCUUUGAGCAGGGUUUAGACAAAUUCAUGAAGUCUAUCAGUGGCUACUAAUCUUGAUGGCUGUAUGCUUUUUCCAGGUUCAGAAGUAGGGUGCCUCCUAAUACACAAGGAGCUGCAAGGGAACAAGAAUAGGAGAGGGAGCACACCUUCACCUCCUGGUUGUGAACUUCCUGGAAGCAUCUGAUGGGGCACUAUGGGAAACGGGAUGCUGGACCACAUGGGAUUUGGGCCUGAUCUAGCAAGGAUCUUCUUAUAUUCUUGUUCUAAUUGUGAAAUGCACAAACCGGUUAAGCUGAGAGAGAUGUGACCGGCCCAGAGUCACCUAGCAAGUCUCAUGGCUGAAUGGGGAUUUGAACUCCGGUUUCCAAGGUCCUAGUCCAGCACUCUAACCACUACAUCAUGCUGGCUCUCAAUCCUUUGGCCAAACCCUCAUAAGAUUAAGAAAUGACACAUUGCUCCCACUUCAGAAUAAGUGGCACAAUUUGCUCUUUUCCAACAGAUUUCAAGAAACAAUCGACAGAGACAACAUCACAGAAGCCAAGAAGACGUGGAAGGAGCCAAAGACACAGACACACAGGGCAAGCCAAACUAAACCACAACCCAGGGGCUACGUAGAAGCUUCAGGCUUCUCUCUUGUCCCAAACAUCAUCAUCAUCAUCAUCACCACACACUAUUUGUGAUCCACCCCAUAACAAAUAGUCCUCUGGGCGGCUCACAACACACCAUUGAGAAAUGUCCAACAAGAGCACAUACAAAAUGACAAACACAUCACAACACAAAACAGCAGCAAAUAUCCAACCGGCAGCGACACAGAAGCCACAAAGGAAUUAAAAGAGCCGACAAGGAUGCACAAGAUAGCCAAAGCAAGGGUUGUGUUCCUCACCGCCCUGAAUGCUCUGUCAAUCCACAGGCCAUCAGUAGAAACUUCAGGCUGCUCUGUUCUCUCACCACCUGUGGAAGGCAGCAUGAUCUCUCAUUCUGUGGCUGCCUGGAAUGAAACACGCUUCAUGUAUGUUACAAGCUUCAGGCAUCUUCAUUCUCCCAACAGCCUUGUCAAGCUGGAUAUCCUCUAAGAUGGUGACUGCCUUUAACAGGACACACUUCAUGUGUGCUGCAUGCUCAGCAGCCCUUUGUGCCAUGUUUGGAAAGAAGAAACAGAGUUGGCACACAUUUGCAAUGACCUCCAUGCCGGAGUGGUGAUUUUGGAAUGUGUUCUCCUCCCAAGAGGCCUGUGUGGGAGGUAGGAUCAAAGACAGGGACUGGACCCAAGUGGGUUUCAAGAAAGAGCAUAAGGAAUGAGGAGGACACAGAAGACAAGACAAGCUGACCUGAUCAAUCUUGUGACGAGGAGGCGCAAUGUCCGAGAAUUGAAGAACUAUUCAACAUAGUUAUUCAGUUUUGUUCAUUAUAGUUCUUCAAUUUUAUUCAAAAUAUAAAUAUGUGUAAAUAUUGAGCAUACAUAUUUAUUUCACACUGAUCAUCACAAGAGAAUGUAAAAGUGAAACUGUGAAAAGUAUAUUCACCAAGUCUUGCUCACACUUCAAAUAAAUGACUUGACUUGUUCUUUCCCAGCAGAUUUCAGGAAAGAGCCUAAGGAGCAAGGAGAGUGAGGAUAAGACAAGCUUUUUCAAUCUCUUUCGUGAUGAGGCUUCAUCAGAGAACUGAAGAACAUAUACAAAAUAUAAAGAUGUAUACAAAUACUGAGCAUACUUAUUUAUUACAUACCGAUUGUCACAGGAGAAUAUAAAAAUGAAACUCUGAAAAUGUAUUACUCAGGAAAUCUAAGGUGUCAUCCUUCAUAAAUGUCUCAUACUCUAACAUCACGUGGAUUUGCUCACACUUCAAAUAAAUUAUGUAACUUGUUCUUUCCCAAAAGAUUUCAAAAACAAACCAGUGGAGGCGACAAGAGACAAGCCAUGCCAAGCAAAACUGCAUUACCCUUUUAGGUCUUGUUUUCAGAAGAUUAGUCUCAAAACCAGUGGCUGGCUGCUGCAAAUAGAGGCUUCAAGCGUGAGCUGAUUUUAUCCUUGGCCCUGUGAGGUAAGUUAGCCUGGAAUAUUCUGUGCUGGCUUCAAGGGUUCAUGCCUAAAAAAUAAGAAUACGUUUGUUUAAAUUGUUUGUAUCCUGCCUAUGGAAGAGCCUUAAACAACCAUCUCUUCAGCCUGGCUUUUAAUGAUAUCUUGUUUUAAUCUUAAUUUUAAUUAGAUUUAAUCUGGUUUAAAUGUUUCUUGAUUUUAAUUGUUUUAUUCUGUGUUUUUUAUUUUAUUUUAAUGUAAACCAGCCUGAGCCAAUGAAUGAAUGAAUGAAAUAAUAAAUAUUCAACAAAAUGCUAUUCAGGGCCUCUUACCCUCUCUUAAAUUAAAACAACCCCCCCCCCCACACACUAAAUGCAAAACAACAACAAAACCCACUAUUAAAUGCAAGCCCCCACACUACUAAAGUUAAAAAAACACACUACUAAAUGCAACAACCCCCCCAAAGCCCACUACUAAAUGGGGGGGAAAACCACCACUAAAUGCACACACUCCGCUAAUAAAUGCAAAAAAGAUUCACUACUAAAUGCAAUAAAACUGAAGAUAAAAUAGACAAGAAAAAAGAGCAUUCACAACUAAAAACUGAGUAUUCUAAACAGGAGUAAAAAAAACACAACCACCAUUGGCUCUGUUCACCAGCCAUUCUCAUUGAGCUCUGUUGGUACAUUACUCGUCAGGUUUUUUCACCCGUCAGGCAUCCUUUUUCACUUGUCACAGAUGGGUAGACUAGUGGAUUUUCUGAGCCCUGAUUCUAAACCUGGAUUGGAGAAAAAUGGAAUUUUUCUUGGUGCAGAUCUCCUGACCUAGCUGCUUUGCGUGAGUAUUUGUUCAGUGAAUCUGAAAAAAACUAUUAUUGUGAUGUUUGAAACUAACAUUUAACACAUUUGUUAAAGAUUUGUGGUAAUGUUUUAUUUUGAAACAUGAAUUAUUUGAAUUGAUGAAAGAAUGUUAAUAUGCCUAUAUAUUCUCUUUUUACCCAGCAGGUUGACUUGUAUACAGUGCCAUGUGGAUUGUGAUAAAUCCCUACAAAGGAGGAUAUUGCAAGAAAUUGGAAAUUUAUAAAAGUGGCUACUGUCAGAGUGGUAUAUAUUAACCUAUGUCUAGAUAUGCUUUUGAUUUUUUCCCCCCUAGCAAUCAAUCAAUGUAUUGCGAUCCAUAGACCAGAAAAUUUUCCCCUAGCAGACUGAUUAACAUUGACGGCCAUGUGGAUUGUGGGUAAAUCCCUAAGGAGGUUAUUUGAAGAAAUCCAAAGUGUAUAAAAGUGACUAAUAUCAAAGAGCUGCUACACUUCUGAUCAAACCUUCGAUUUUGAAGAGCAAUCCUGACAAGAUGCAAAACAAGGGAGCCUUCUUCCUUAGAAACCUGUGGUAAAUCCACGGGGGCUGCUCCAAGGACAGCAAUAUCUGACAUUUUGUUUGACAGAGAAUUCCACAAGUGGAUGAUGCGUUGUGUGAAAAAGUGUUUGUUUGUUUGUUGGUUCUAGAUUUCCUGCCAAUCAAUUGCAUGGGAUGACCCCUGGUUCUAGUGUGAUGUGAGAGGGAGAAGAAUUUCUCUCCAUCCACUUUCUCCACCCUAUGCCUGAUUUUAUAGACCUCUAUCAUGUCUCCCCGCAGUUGUCUUUUUCUAAACUAAAUAGCCCCAGGUGUUGUAGCCUUGCCUCAUACGAAAGGUGCUCUAGGCCCCUGAUCAUCUUGGUUGCCCUCUUCUGCACCAUUUCCAGUUCUACUAUGUCCUUUUUUAGAUGAUGUAACCAGAAUUGUACACAGUAUUCCAGGUGUGGCUGUACCAUAGUUUUUGAAUAAGGGCAUUAUAAUAUUA